UACGAAGGGUGCAAGCGUUACUCGGAAUUACUGGGCGUAAAGCGUGCGUAGGUGGUUUGUUAAGUCUGAUGUGAAAGCCCUGGGCUCAACCUGGGAAUGGCAUUGGAAACUGGCUUACUAGAGUGCGGUAGAGGGUAGUGGAAUUCCCGGUGUAGCAGUGAAAUGCGUAGAUAUCGGGAGGAACAUCUGUGGCGAAGGCGACUACCUGGACCAGCACUGACGCUGAGGCGCGAAAGCCAGGGGAGCAAACGGG
This 253-nucleotide ribosomal RNA is filed under the name uncultured bacterium. Its description in RNAcentral is "partial 16S ribosomal RNA". It matches the Rfam family "Bacterial small subunit ribosomal RNA", at positions 524 to 776 of the family's 1533-position model. The record is from RNAcentral.